RNAcentral lists this transfer RNA (77 nucleotides) under Brevundimonas bullata. RNAcentral's name for it is "tRNA-Pro". It matches the Rfam family "tRNA". Rfam says of the family: Transfer RNA (tRNA) molecules are approximately 80 nucleotides in length. RNAcentral also lists the same sequence under 34 other names. The record is from RNAcentral. Lineage: Bacteria; Pseudomonadati; Pseudomonadota; Alphaproteobacteria; Caulobacterales; Caulobacteraceae.
CGGAGUGUGGCUCAGUCUGGUAGAGCACUGCGUUCGGGACGCAGGGGUCGGAGGUUCGAAUCCUCUCACUCCGACCA